AACUUUUAACAACGGAUCUCUUGGCUCUGGCAUCGAUGAAGAACGCAGCGAAAUGCGAUAAGUAAUGUGAAUUGCAGAAUUCAGUGAAUCAUCGAAUCUUUGAACGCACAUUGCGCCCGUCAGCAUUCUGGCGGGCAUGCCUGUUCGAGCGUCAUUU
Molecule: ribosomal RNA, 157 nt
Filed under: Stachybotrys echinatus
Lineage: Eukaryota; Fungi; Ascomycota; Sordariomycetes; Hypocreales; Stachybotryaceae
Description: Memnoniella echinata 5.8S ribosomal RNA
Rfam family: 5.8S ribosomal RNA
About the family: 5.8S ribosomal RNA (5.8S rRNA) is a component of the large subunit of the eukaryotic ribosome.
Source: RNAcentral